GAAGUGUCUUUUCUGGAGAACAGCAUUCUGGGUAUGAAGAUGCUGAUGAGCUUCUUUCAGGUUGGAGGACUUAAAUAUAUUAAUGUCACCUGCUACUAAACCCUAUGUACUGCAUAUUGUGUGAUGCAUAUAUAAUUAAAAAAUUAGUUACCUUAUUUACACCAUUCAACACAUAAUUUAGUUAUGGUUUUUAUUUAUUUAUUUAUUCAUUCAUUCACUUCUAUAUUUUUUAUUAAAGCAGAAAGAACCAAACCUGAAUACCAUAAUGAUUUCUCCAGCAUUGAAGCCCCAACAGAAAAGCAACAAAUCACAUCAGAGAACUAUGAUGAUGUCAUCACUGCUGGACUGAGACAUGCUACAGAUGACUUGCCCGAAAACUAUGAUGAUGUCAUCAUCAUACGACAGUUCUCCAAUGAUAACAAAGAGGGUGUUCAGGAGGAGUAUGAUGAUGUGAAGAAUGUCAGCGAAUAUAUGAGUGACAUGUUUGACUAUGAUGAUGUGGAGGAGGAUCCAGGAAAACAGACAGGAGCUGUUUAACUCAAACCUCACACACUGCCUCAAAUCCUUUUAAAGCUUUUAAGAUUUUAGCAAUCUUACUAUAUGUGUUUCAGUUGCAGUCUAAACAGUGUUUUGAUACAUCCUGUACUGAAAUAUACAAUUACAAUUUUCGACAGAAAAAAAUGCUUUGCUUUCAUGACUUUUUAAAAAGGUGCUUGACUUUUUCCAAACACUUUUACAAAUCUUUUCUAUUGUGUAGCCUUAGAAAUUUGAGAGAACAAAAACCUGUCAUUUUCUGACAUUCAGUAACUUUGUAUAAACAUAAUUGUGUUGAGAAUGUGUUCAUCAUUCAGCUACCACCCAUCAUUAAUGGAUUACAAUAUCUUCAACUUAAUAAUAUCAUAAUAUGAAAUAUCACAAUAUCAUUCACUGAUGGUUCACUGUUAAUAUUUUGUUAAAGGACAUUAGAAUGUUACGGGGACCGAGAGCUUAAUGUGCUGCAACUUCAGAAAACACAUGCAAAUAGAAAAAGCACCAGCAAAUAAAGAAAACAUCUUCAUCAGUCUGAGAUCACAUGUGCUGAAAAUACUCACAACACAACCAAAUAAAGAAACAGACCACAAGAAAAUUACUUUAACUAAACGAAAAUGUACUUUUUCUUUUUUAAACAUUUUUU
RNAcentral lists this long non-coding RNA (1174 nucleotides) under Carassius auratus (goldfish). RNAcentral describes it as "lncRNA (ENSCARG00000065223.1)". The record is from RNAcentral. Lineage: Eukaryota; Metazoa; Chordata; Actinopteri; Cypriniformes; Cyprinidae.